CAAAGCUCUUCGCUUACACCGAGAAGAUAUCUGUUCGAAUCAGAUCAUUUUGAGCCUCAAAUCUAGCCCACAUGACCCGCAUGAAAACCUUAAACUACUGAAAAAAAUAAAUCAUUUUAACAUUCUAGUAUAGGUGAUAGAAAAAUUACUAAGCGCCUUAGAAAUAGUACCGCAAGGGAAAUAUGAAAUAGAAGUGAAACAAUAUUGCAGCCACAAACAGCAGAGACAUCACCUUGUACCUUUUGCAUCAUGGUCUAGCCAGUCCACCCAAGCAAAAUGAAAACUUUAGUCUGACCCCCCGAAACUAAGCGAGCUACUUCAAAACAGCUUUUAGAGCCAACCCAUCUCUGUUGCAAAAGAGUGGGAAGAUUUUCAAGUAGAGGCGACAAACCUAUCGAGCUUAGAGAUAGCUGGUUGUUCAGGAAAAGAGUCUUAGCUCUGCCUUAAGCUUUUACAUUACACCAAACAACCCCCAAAGCUUAAGAGUUAUUCAAAUUAGGCACAGCUUAUUUGAAAUAGGAUACAACCUACACCACCGGGUAAGACAGGUUAAUAAAAAUAAAGUAGGCCCAAAAGCAGCCAUCUUUAAAAAAGCGUCAAAGCUUGGUUAUUGCAACCCCAAAUUACUAAAACACCCACUAACCCCUCAUUCCUACUGAACCACUUUAUAUUAUUAUAAAUACGAUGAUGCUAGAACUAGUAACAAGAACUCGCCGUUCUCCACAAUGUAAACAUACACCAAAACGGACUCUCCAUUGGUGAUUAACGUAAAUGCAAAGUUAUAAUAACACAAAACCAGAAAACCUUAUGACUCUUCACGUCCCCCUAACACUAGAACAUUCAAGGAAAGAUUAAAAGAAAGAGAAGGAACUCGGCAAAUUUUAGCCCCGCCUGUUUACCAAAAACAUCGCCUCCUGAUUAAACAUAAGAGGUCCAGCCUGCCCAGUGAUAACAUUCAACGGCCGCGGUAUCUUAACCGUGCGAAGGUAGCAUAAUCACUUGUUCUUUAAAUGGGGACUCGUAUCAACGGCAUCACGAGGGUUAUACUGUCUCCUCUCUCCAAUCAGUGAAACUGAUCCCCCCGUGAAGAAGCGGGGAUCUAAUUAUAAGACGAGAAGACCCCAUGGAGCUUUAAACCCAAUUUGCACCCCCCUCAAACAUCAACUAAACCUCAGGGGCCUGUACAUUGGUUUUAGGCUGGGGGGACCACGGAGCAAAAUAAAACCUCCAUAACAAAUGGGCUAGCACCCUUAUCCAAGAUUUACAAAUCCAAGAAUCAUUAAAAUGAUGUUUAAUGACCCAAUAAUUUGAUCAAUGAACCAAGUUACCCUGGGGAUAACAGCGCAAUCCACUCCAAGAGCCCGUAUCGACAAGUGGGUUUACGACCUCGAUGUUGGAUCAGGGUAUCCCAGUGGUGCAGCCGCUAC
This 1427-nucleotide ribosomal RNA is filed under the name Odorrana hosii (Mount Dulit frog). Its description in RNAcentral is "partial 16S ribosomal RNA". It matches the Rfam family "Bacterial large subunit ribosomal RNA", at positions 97 to 2565 of the family's 2925-position model. Lineage: Eukaryota; Metazoa; Chordata; Amphibia; Anura; Ranidae. The record is from RNAcentral.